This is a long non-coding RNA of Cyprinus carpio carpio, 2391 nucleotides long. The record is from Ensembl. NCBI's taxonomy places the organism in Eukaryota, Metazoa, Chordata, Actinopteri, Cypriniformes, Cyprinidae.
UCCAGGCAACCCGUAACCCGUGUUUUUCCAACCUUAAACCCGUGAAAGUGCACUGGAACGGCAGUCAAACCCGUGACUUCCCACCCGUGAACUCGUACUAGAUCGAUGUACUCCGAGUUCCGACGUCACACAGGACGCGAAACCUCAAUGACAGCCCCUACGGAUAAUACUGCCUACGGACGCAGUGUUUAUGCAAGUGGUACACGUUGAAAAAUCGAUUUUAUGACAAUGUAACGUUGCGAUAAAAACUGGGAUGAGGAAGAGGUGGCAAGAGCCAACAUGUAUGAUGGCCCGCAGCCCUAUAAUUUUGAACCAGCCAGACGAGAGAGAGCAAAUGAGGAAUUGCCAAGAACUGAUGGCCGUCAAAGCCAGUUAAAUGCAUGGUCCAAGGAGAAUGAGUGGAGAGUUGGUGAAGUGUCCUGACAUACUGUAUGUACAGUGAGACAAAACGAUGACCGCAUCUGCAUCGAAGGCGAAGACUUCAGAGCUGAUAGUUUGUAUCGGCGUCCUUUUUGUGCAAUACAGUACAGAAUACAUCCUGUAUCCAACUAAUGCAGAGUAUAUUCAAGUUGCCAACACACUGGUUGUGAAGAACCCUGUCCAGAGAAAUAUAAAAGGAAAUGACUGUGUAAGUUACAUUGUUUUUAAUCCAUUGGUUUAUCUCUAUCAACAUAAUCACACACAAUAUUGUAGUAACAAUAUAUUGUAAUCUUUAUUUGCUGGAAAAUGACAAUCAGUCAAAUUUGUGUUUUUAGCACACCUGACACAUCCCUAAACCGGAAAUUUAAAGCAGAACGUGCACCACUUGCAGGUUAUUGUAGCAUAUGUAAGCACACUGCCAUAUGCAUAAUUUAUUUUUGCACUGUUAAUCAAUUUUACAUUUUCACUUCAAUGUAAGGAAGAUACUGUACUACAGAUAUUAAAAUCUUUUUUUUGUAUCUACUCCACUUUUUCACUGCCUGACCAUCAUCUUAAUGUUGAUGCAGUUCAAUGUUUUUAUUAUUUUUUUAUAUCUAAAGCACCUUGUUCAAUAAGUAUUUAGAUGUCUCUCAUAUCUGUCACGGUCUAAGCAUGAUCUGUUUCUGUUGUUCUGAUGAAGGAAACUUGUGUUGGGGAGGAUUCAGUGUCUGUUGAGAACCAUGUGAAUGUGCUACAAAGUGAGUAUCAGAAAACACAUCCAGACACCUGGACUGUCAAAGACCACUCGGCACGAACAUUCUCCUGGAGAUGCUGAGAAAGCACAGAAGGAAUGUCUGUGGAGGAUGUACUCAAACACACCCAUACUUAAGGACACCUGCUGGAGGGGACCCUGCUACACCCUUUCCUACCAUACAGCUGAUGGAUACUGACUGGAAAAUGGUAAUCAUAGGAGGAGGGCUCAGUGUGGUGACAGAAGAUGGAAUAGACGUGUGCCAGUGCACCAGCCUUGAUGAAGCCUUCAUAACAGCCUUCUGUAUGUAUUUUGCUUUCAACAUUGCAUAUCCAACACACCUGAGAAAGACACUGACUUUCCUUCAGAGGCACAUUGUCAACAUUGUGGAAGAUGGAGACAAGCACUGCCAGUAACUUUACUCUGAAUGAUUAGUCUUUUGAAUUAGAUCCUCAUCCCUAAACUGUGUCAUUACACAAAGUGCACUCGAAGGACAUUCACUCUUUUGAAGUUAAUCCAACAUGUUGAACCAAAAAUUAGUAUAACCUAUGGUAUAGAUGAGUGCCAGUCACCUUUUUUGUGAUUCCAUUCUUUUAGAAAACAUGCACAGGAAUCAUAUGUACUUUUGUGUUGUAUUAUAAUAAAAUGGAGAAGGGUCUGGCUGCAGACUUGCACUUGCACUCUCAGACACUUGCGCUUCUGCUAGUGACAAGACUUGCAGUCUUUUUUAUUUAAUAUUUAGUUCUACUUAUUGGUUACUUUUUGUUUGAAUCUCUCAACAUUUGUUUUUUUUCUUGUGUAGGUAUCAUUGACUGGAAGUCUGUCAGUCCAGAUGUGAGGAAGACCUACAGAGUGAGUUUGAGCUCAGCAGGUGUGAUGGCUGUGGAUGCAUCUACAAAAACACCACUGGAUACUGUAGCCAUGGAAAGAAGGGGGUCUUCACAGCUUUCUAUUCAGACAAAGAGUUUGCUGAAUUCUGUUCUAUGGACUGCUACUACAGAAUGAAUGAAUGAGUGGUUUAUCUAUCUAUCUAUCUGUCUGUCUAUCUAUCUAUCUAUAUAUAUUUUUUUUUUACUUGAAUUGGCGAAUGAAACUGAAAGCUAAAUAAAUGUUUUAGUGGAUAAAGCUGUGUCUGUUUGCUUAUGUCACUGACUUCUGUCUUCUGACUAAUUUUUAAAUUUUAUAAUUUAGUGGUUUUGUCAACUAUAUAUUUUUCUCUAUCAGGCAAAACAGUUUUCGAG